ACACCUGAAUCAUCACAGAGCUGUAGUGUUUCAGGACCGGUUAACAGGGAAAAUCCUGGUGAUUGGUAGUCAACUGCAAGGUUUAUACAUGUGUGGACUCCAUCUUCUGUUCUAUCUGGCAAGACCCCUUAUGAAUUACUUUAUAAUUUCAGUCCCUUCUUAAAUCAUUUAAAGGUGUUUGGGUGUUUGUGUUUUUGUACAAGUUUAAAUGUAAGUGACAAACUAAGCAGUAGAGCUGAAAAGUGUGUUUUUAUUGGUUAUUCAUAUGAGAAAAAAGGUUAUAAAUUGUAUAGUCUAGAUACUAAAGUAGUAAUGUUUU
This is a long non-coding RNA of Helianthus annuus (common sunflower), 319 nucleotides long. RefSeq lists it as uncharacterized. Lineage: Eukaryota; Viridiplantae; Streptophyta; Magnoliopsida; Asterales; Asteraceae. The record is from RefSeq and is a predicted model, not a curated record. The transcript is spliced from 3 exons.